Molecule: long non-coding RNA, 210 nt
Filed under: Gossypium barbadense (sea-island cotton)
Lineage: Eukaryota; Viridiplantae; Streptophyta; Magnoliopsida; Malvales; Malvaceae
Description: long non-coding RNA (GBAR_LNC010601)
Source: RNAcentral
CCGUGUCUCUCACACGACCAGAACACAUCUGUGUGUUAGCCCGCGUGCAAAAACCUAGGUAUUCUGUUUCUGACGUCAGCAUUCUCAAAAUGACACACGGCCAUGACACACGCCCGUGUACUAGACCGUGUCCUCCACAAGGCUAAGACACACGGUCGUGCCUCUGCCCGUGUGUUUAUUACCAUGCAUACUGUGUAAUAUCUUGAUUUU